UAAACAAAACCAGCAUCCCUAGUUUGAUUAAUUCAACUAAGUAUCCAGUCGCUGCUCCGCCAUAUCCUGGCUGGAAAAAUAAUUGGAAAAAUAAGAAAUCGAAGACGGAGUGUAUAGAUGGUGCAUCAUUAGACCGGCACUUCGAAUAUAUACAAGAGAAUAUUCCAGCAAUUCCGGAUAUCAAUUUGAAUCCACUAAUGGAAUCAGAGGCCCUCAGCGACAGUCUCGAGCAAAUAGUAGACUUGGACAUCGAUAUGACACCAAGAGUCGCUUCGAAGGUAAAUCCAUACACGGUCCUAGCAGCAAGCGAAUCCAGCACCGAGCUGAUUGCCGUGCUCGCAGUCUGGGACCAGUGUUGAACUGCAUGAAACCCAUAUACAUAUGUUCGUGGGAAAUCCUGUUGUAUUAUUUAUACUUUUCAAGAAUUCGUAUUGAAUCCAGAAGGGAAUAGAGCUGAACUUAAAAUUUCAUAUGUACGUUUAAAAAAGUUUUUUUUGUAUGAAAAAUUCAU
Molecule: small RNA, 511 nt
Filed under: Drosophila pseudoobscura pseudoobscura
Lineage: Eukaryota; Metazoa; Arthropoda; Insecta; Diptera; Drosophilidae
Description: GA31576
Source: RNAcentral